RNAcentral lists this ribosomal RNA (356 nucleotides) under uncultured soil bacterium. RNAcentral's name for it is "bacterial SSU rRNA". It matches the Rfam family "Bacterial small subunit ribosomal RNA", at positions 26 to 386 of the family's 1533-position model. The record is from RNAcentral.
AGAUUGAACGCUGGCGGCAGGCCUAACACAUGCAAGUCGAGCGGUAGAGAGGUGCUUGCACCUCUUGAGAGCGGCGGACGGGUGAGUAAUGCCUAGGAAUCUGCCUAGUGGUGGGGGAUAACAUUCGGAAACGGACGCUAGUACCGCAUACGUCCUACGGGGGAAAGCGGGGGACCUUCGGGCCUCGCGCCAUUAGAUGAGCCUAGGUCGGAUUAGCUAGUUGGUGAGGUAAUGGCUCACCAAGGCGACGAUCCGUAACUGGUCUGAGAGGAUGAUCAGUCACACUGGAACUGAGACACGGUCCAGACUCCUACGGGAGCAGCAGUGGGAAUAUUGGACAAUGGGCGAAAGCCUAG